UAGACAAGAAGUAGAGAUCAUGGAUCUGCCU
Molecule: non-coding RNA, 31 nt
Filed under: Homo sapiens (human)
Lineage: Eukaryota; Metazoa; Chordata; Mammalia; Primates; Hominidae
Source: RNAcentral